Molecule: ribosomal RNA, 460 nt
Filed under: uncultured bacterium
Lineage: Bacteria
Description: bacterial SSU rRNA
Rfam family: Bacterial small subunit ribosomal RNA
Source: RNAcentral
GAUGAACGUUGGCGGCGUGCCUAAUACAUGCAAGUCGAACGAAGACUGUAGUAAUACUGUCUUAGUGGCGAACGGGUGAGUAACGCGUGGGUGACCUGCCCCGAAGUGUGGGAUAACAGUCCGAAAGGAUUGCUAAUACUGCAUAAUAUCCAAGAGAUUAGAUGCUUUUGGAUUAAAGGAGUAAUUCGCUUCGGGAGGGGCCCGCGUCCCAUCAGCUAGUUGGUAAGGUAAUGGCUUACCAAGGCGAUGACGGGUAGGGGACCUGAGAGGGUGGCCCCCCACAAUGGAACUGAAACACGGUCCAUACACCUACGGGUGGCAGCAGUAGGGAAUAUUGCAAAUGGGCGAAAGCCUGAUGUAGCAACGCCGCGUGUGCGAUGAAGGUCUUCGGAUUGUAAAGCACUUUUUGGAGGGAUGAGGAAGGACAGUACCUCCAGAAUAAGCCUCGGCUAACUACGUG